Pelobates cultripes (western spadefoot toad) is the source of this 318-nucleotide non-coding RNA. The record is from the annotation of a GenBank genome assembly. Lineage: Eukaryota; Metazoa; Chordata; Amphibia; Anura; Pelobatidae.
GGUACAUUAAGCUGCUGCUGGGGAGAGGGGGUAACAAGCUCCUUUCCCACAUAUACUUCCAGCCGCGGGGGAGGGAGACCGACUGUUUCUGCUCCCAAUACAGAGUCCUGCUGCUGGGGAAAGGAGACUGGGCUCUCUAUUCCCGGUAGGACACUCUGCCGCUGGGGAAUGGAGACUGGGCUCCCAAUUCCCAAUAAAUCAUUCUGCCGCUGGGGAAGGGAGACUGGGCUCCCAAUUCCCGAUAAAUCAUUCUGCCGCUGGGGAAUGGAGACUGGGCUCCCAAUUCCCAAUAACUCAGCCUGCCGCUGGGGAAUGGAG